RNAcentral lists this ribosomal RNA (254 nucleotides) under uncultured bacterium. RNAcentral's name for it is "partial 16S ribosomal RNA". It matches the Rfam family "Bacterial small subunit ribosomal RNA", at positions 527 to 779 of the family's 1533-position model. The record is from RNAcentral.
CGGAGGGGCUAGCGUUGUUCGGAAUUACUGGGGCGUAAAGCGCACGUAGGCGGCUUGCCAAGUCAGAGGUGAAAGCCCGGGGCUCAACUCCGGAAUAGCCUUUGAAACUGGUUCGCUUGAACACGGGAGAGGUGAGUGGAAUUCCGAGUGUAGAGGUGAAAUUCGUAGAUAUUCGGAAGAACACCAGUGGCGAAGGCGGCUCACUGGACCGUUGUUGACGCUGAGGUGCGAAAGCGUGGGGAGCAAACAGGAUU